CCCCUCUCAGGAUCACACCUGGAGAGUUUUCAAUACUCUGCCAGUCUCAGCUACAGGAGGGAGAGUCAAACAGAGGCAUAGUUUUUCCAUUCUUAGCUUGGGCAGUGGCUAAUGAGUGGAAGGUGAUCUGCUACAAGU
Molecule: small nucleolar RNA, 138 nt
Organism: Ornithorhynchus anatinus (platypus)
Lineage: Eukaryota; Metazoa; Chordata; Mammalia; Monotremata; Ornithorhynchidae
Source: RefSeq, a predicted model, not a curated record